Molecule: ribosomal RNA, 425 nt
Filed under: uncultured bacterium
Lineage: Bacteria
Description: bacterial SSU rRNA
Rfam family: Bacterial small subunit ribosomal RNA
Source: RNAcentral
UGGGGAAUAUUGGACAAUGGGGGCAACCCUGAUCCAGCGAUGCCGCGUGGGUGAAGAAGGCCUUCGGGUUGUAAAGCCCUUUAGGUUGGGAAGAAGGGGGUAGUUAACAGCUAUUCUUUGACGGUACCAACAGAAUAAGCACCGGCAAACUCUGUGCCAGCAGCCGCGGUAAUACAGAGGGUGCGAGCGUUAAUCGGAUUUACUGGGCGUAAAGGGCGCGUAGGCGGUUUAGUGAGUGUGGUGUGAAAGCCCCGGGCUUAACCUGGGAAGUGCAUCGCAAACGACUAAACUGGAGUAUAAGAGAGGGUGGCGGAAUUUCCGGUGUAGCGGUGAAAUGCGUAGAGAUCGGAAGGAACGUCAAUGGCGAAGGCAGCCACCUGGCUUAAUACUGACGCUGAGGCGCGAAAGCGUGGGGAUCAAACAGG